AGAGACCCAAGUUGACAGACAAUCGGCGUAAAGAGUGGUUAAGUACUAAUUUUGCUAAAGCCAAACACCUUCAAAGCUGUUAUACGCACCCGAAGGUUAGAAGCCCAAUCACGAAAGUGGCUUUAAACUAACUGAACCCACGAAAGCUAGGGCACAAACUGGGAUUAGAUACCCCACUAUGCCUAGCCCUAAACAUUGAUAAUAACUUACAACUAUUAUCCGCCUGGGAACUACGAGCACCA
RNAcentral lists this ribosomal RNA (242 nucleotides) under Acanthurus leucopareius. RNAcentral's name for it is "partial small subunit ribosomal RNA". It matches the Rfam family "Bacterial small subunit ribosomal RNA", at positions 530 to 891 of the family's 1533-position model. Lineage: Eukaryota; Metazoa; Chordata; Actinopteri; Acanthuriformes; Acanthuridae. The record is from RNAcentral.